This 253-nucleotide ribosomal RNA is filed under the name uncultured bacterium. Its description in RNAcentral is "partial 16S ribosomal RNA". It matches the Rfam family "Bacterial small subunit ribosomal RNA", at positions 524 to 776 of the family's 1533-position model. The record is from RNAcentral.
UACGUAGGGUGCGAGCGUUGUCCGGAAUUAUUGGGCUUAAAGAGCUCGUAGGCGGUUUGUCACGUCUGCUGUGAAAUCCCGAGGCUCAACCUCGGGCCUGCAGUGGGUACGGGCAGACUGGAGUGCGGUAGGGGAGAAUGGAAUUCCUGGUGUAGCGGUGAAAUGCGCAGAUAUCAGGAGGAACACCAGCGGCGAAGGCGGCGCUCUGGGCCGGAACUGACGCUGAGGAGCGAAAGCGUGGGUAGCAAACAGG